This 429-nucleotide ribosomal RNA is filed under the name Bacillota bacterium. RNAcentral's name for it is "Firmicutes bacterium partial 16S ribosomal RNA". It matches the Rfam family "Bacterial small subunit ribosomal RNA", at positions 355 to 776 of the family's 1533-position model. Lineage: Bacteria; Bacillati; Bacillota. The record is from RNAcentral.
UAGGGAAUCUUCCGCAAUGGACGAAAGUCUGACGGAGCAACGCCGCGUGAGUGAUGAAGGCUUUCGGGUCGUAAAACUCUGUUGUUAGGGAAGAACAAGUACGAGAGUAACUGCUCGUACCUUGACGGUACCUAACCAGAAAGCCACGGCUAACUACGUGCCAGCAGCCGCGGUAAUACGUAGGUGGCAAGCGUUAUCCGGAAGUAUUGGGCGUAAAGCGCGCGCAGGCGGUUUCUUAAGUCUGAUGUGAAAGCCCACGGCUCAACCGUGGAGGGUAAUUGGAAACUGGGGAACUUGAGUGCAGAAGAGAAAAGCGGAAUUCCACGUGUAGCGGUGAAAUGCGUAGAGAUGUGGAGGAACACCAGUGGCGAAGGCGGCUUUUUGGUCUGUAACUGACGCUGAGGCGCGAAAGCGUGGGGAGCAAACAGG